UUGGAGAACGUUGACCCAAUAAUCUCCCAGGGCUCUGGUUCCCAAUCUUUGCAUACUGUUAUGCAAAGAUUGUACACAAAGUGAAGCAUGCCAUUGGCGUGGAGGAUGUGCCUGCUACUCACAAGCACAAUUCAGCAGACAUAGGCAGAUUUACUCUGGGAUAUUGACAGAACACCUCAUGACUGGUCAAAAAAGUGAAAGGG
This 203-nucleotide long non-coding RNA is filed under the name Homo sapiens (human). RNAcentral's name for it is "LHRI_LNC651.1". Lineage: Eukaryota; Metazoa; Chordata; Mammalia; Primates; Hominidae. The record is from RNAcentral.